GCCUUUUGGGUGAAGAUAUAAAAGGUCGGGCCUGCCCGGUGGCGAGAGCUUAACGGCUGCAGUGAAGAAUUGUACGAAGGUAGCGUAAUGAGUUGUCCUUUAAAUGGGGAAAGGAAUAAAAGGUUUGACGAUGGGAAAGCUGUUUCUUAGAAAUAAUAUGAAGUUUCCGUUUGAAUGAAAAGGUUUAAAUUUUUGAAAAAGACGAGAAGACCCUAGUGAGCUUAAUUAUAUUUAUUCAGGAGCGUAAAUAGAAAUUUUAUUGGGGCAAUAGGAAGCUAUAAGUAACGCUUUUUUUUUAUAUGUAGAUCCUCUAUGGGAGAAGUAAGCAAAAGUUACCAUAGGGAUAACAGCGUAAUUUUUCUUAAGAGUUCUAAUUGAGGGAAAAGUUUGCGACCUCGAUGUUGGAUUAGAAUUUCUUUUUGGUGCAGCAACUAAAAAAGUAAGACUGUUCGUCUUUUAAAAUUUUACA
This 469-nucleotide ribosomal RNA is filed under the name Kelliella sp. VLG-2013. RNAcentral describes it as "partial 16S ribosomal RNA". It matches the Rfam family "Bacterial large subunit ribosomal RNA", at positions 1818 to 2600 of the family's 2925-position model. Lineage: Eukaryota; Metazoa; Mollusca; Bivalvia; Venerida; Kelliellidae. The record is from RNAcentral.